Long non-coding RNA from Symphalangus syndactylus (siamang), 1133 nucleotides. RefSeq lists it as uncharacterized. Lineage: Eukaryota; Metazoa; Chordata; Mammalia; Primates; Hylobatidae. The record is from RefSeq and is a predicted model, not a curated record.
CUCCCGGAUUCAAACGAUUCUCCUGCCUCAGCCUCCCCAGUACCUGGGACUACAGGCGUAUGCCACCACGCCCGGCUAAUUUUUUGUAUUUUUAGUAGAGAUGGAGUUUCACCGUGUUAGCCAGGAUGGUCUUGAUCUCCUGACCUCGUGAUCCCCCGCCUUGGCCUCCCAAAGUGCUGGGAUUACAGGCGUUAACUGCACCCGGCCUCAAAAAAAUAAUUUUCGUCUGAUAAAUGUGGGUCCUUUUAAAUGAACGGGCACAUAGAGACAUUCAAAUGAUACAGCAAUCACCUUCUAACUCCCUGAAGCUAUUAAUUCAUCUUUUGAAACAGCUAUUGCCACAAAUAGGUAUAACUAACUUACUAAUGCAGCACGGGACACUGGAACCCACACCCUAUACCUUAACAGUGCAUAGCCACGUGCUUAUCAAUGUUACUUCUGUAAAUCAGUGAGCAUUCCUGACAAAGAACUUUGUAUCAGCCCACAUCUUGUCCCCCUUUUUCAGGCACUUUGGGUCAUAUUUUGUGCUUCAGCCUCUACUUUUUAGGGAAAAGAUGGAAAUGUUUCCUGUCCUUUGAAUUCUCUCAGUCUUGUGAAGGGAGAAAAACUGUCUCAGCAAGGUAGUGGAAGAACCUGAGAAACAAAAUGCACUUCAGGUCUUAAGACCCCCAUUUCAGAAAGGAUCCUACCCUCUACCCAGGAGGAAAGAAUGUACACAGAGGCUAAGAAGAGUCAGCAGACAGGCGUUAUUGGUUUUCCCACUCAAUCUAUUAGUAUUAGUCCAUACCCUUUUUGUCCAAUUGCAGUUCUACGGGGUGUUCCAUACUUUUAUCAUUCCAAUUGAGUGACGUCUGUAUAAAACGCCAUGCUUUUAUCAUUCCUAUUGAACGAUGUCUGUAUAAAAGGCCCAAGAGGAUGGGGUAUGGGGAGCUUCUGGACAGCUGAACUCAGGGAGGCUUGUGUUACAGGAAGGUGGUCAAGAACUCAUCCUCAUGCCAGGAGCGAGUCAUACCCUAACUACCAGAAUGGAAGCUCCUGUGCUUGGGACCCUUGUACACCUUGCCCUAUACAUCUCCACCUGGCUGUUUAUUUGUAGUCUUUAAAAUAGCCUUUAUAAUAAACUUGUAAACGUG